RNAcentral lists this ribosomal RNA (253 nucleotides) under uncultured bacterium. RNAcentral describes it as "partial 16S ribosomal RNA". It matches the Rfam family "Bacterial small subunit ribosomal RNA", at positions 524 to 776 of the family's 1533-position model. The record is from RNAcentral.
UACGGGGGGGGCAAGCGUUGUUCGGAAUUACUGGGCGUAAAGGGCGCGUAGGCGGCCUGCUAAGUCGGAUGUGAAAUCCCUCGGCUCAACCGAGGAACUGCAUCCGAUACUGGCGGGCUUGAAUCCGGGAGAGGGAUGUGGAAUUCCAGGUGUAGCGGUGAAAUGCGUAGAUAUCGGGAGGAACAUCUGUGGCGAAGGCGACACCCUGGACCAGCACUGACACUGAGGCACGAAAGCGUGGGGAGCAAACAGG